RNAcentral lists this ribosomal RNA (556 nucleotides) under Exophiala crusticola. RNAcentral describes it as "eukaryotic LSU rRNA". It matches the Rfam family "Eukaryotic large subunit ribosomal RNA", at positions 83 to 651 of the family's 3401-position model. The record is from RNAcentral. Lineage: Eukaryota; Fungi; Ascomycota; Eurotiomycetes; Chaetothyriales; Herpotrichiellaceae. RNAcentral also lists the same sequence under 1 other name.
GUACGGCGAGUGAAGCGGCAACAGCUCAAAUUUGAAAUCUGGCCUCUUUGGGGUCCGAGUUGUAAUUUGUAGAGGAUGUUUCGGGUACCGCCCCGGUCUAAAUUUCUUGGAACAGAAUGUCAUAGAGGGUGAGAAUCCCGUCUUGGACCGGCGGUAGGGCCCAUGUGAAACUCCUUCGACGAGUCGAGUUGUUUGGGAAUGCAGCUCAAAUUGGGUGGUAAAUUUCAUCUAAAGCUAAAUACCUGCCAGAGACCGAUAGCGCACAAGUAGAGUGAUCGAAAGAUGAAAAGCACUUUGAAAAGAGAGUUAAACAGUAUGUGAAAUUGUUGAAAGGGAAGCGCUUACAACCAGACUUGAGCGCGGCGGUUCCCCCUUCCUUCUGGUUGGGUUAUUCCGUCGUGUCCAGACCAACAUCGGUUCUGGGGGCCGGUUAAAGGCUCUGGGAAUGUACCUACUCCUUCGGGUGUAGACUUAUAGCCCAGGGUGUCAUGCGGCCUCCCGGAACCGAGGAACGCGCUUCGGCUCGGAUGUUGGUGCAAUGGUUGUCAGCGACCCG